UACGUAGGGUGCAAGCGUUAAUCGGAAUUACUGGGCGUAAAGCGUGCGCAGGCGGCUUUGCAAGACAGAUGUGAAAUCCCCGGGCUUAACCUGGGAACUGCAUUUGGGACUGCAAGGCUUGAGUGCGGCAGAGGAGACUGGAGUUCCUGGUGUAGCAGUGAAAUGCGUAGAUAUCAGGAGGAAUACCGAUGGCGAAGGCAGGUCUCUGGGCUGACACUGACGCUCAUGCACGAAAGCGUGGGGAGCAAACAGG
RNAcentral lists this ribosomal RNA (253 nucleotides) under uncultured bacterium. RNAcentral's name for it is "partial 16S ribosomal RNA". It matches the Rfam family "Bacterial small subunit ribosomal RNA", at positions 524 to 776 of the family's 1533-position model. The record is from RNAcentral.